CCUACGGGGGGCAGCAGUGGGGAAUAUUGCGCAAUGGGGGAAACCCUGACGCAGCGACGCCGCGUGAGCGAAGAAGGCCUUCGGGUUGUAAAGCUCUGUUGUAAGGGACGAAUGUCGCGAUCAAUAAUACGGAUUGCGAAUGACGGUACCUUACCAGCAAGCCCCGGCUAACUACGUGCCAGCAGCCGCGGUAAGACGUAGGGGGCGAGCGUUGUCCGGAAUUACUGGGCGUAAAGAGCACGUAGGCGGGACCUUAAGUCAGGUGUGAAAGACCGCGGCUCAACCGCGGGGUUGCACCUGAAACUGGGGUUCUUGAGGGCAGGAGAGGAAAGCAGAAUUCCUGGUGUAGCGGUGAAAUGCGUAGAAAUCAGGAGGAAUACCAGUGGCGAAGGCGGCUUUCUGGACUGACCCUGACGCUGAGGUGCGAAAGCGUGGGGAGCAAACAGGAUUAGAUACCCCGGUAGUC
RNAcentral lists this ribosomal RNA (466 nucleotides) under uncultured bacterium. RNAcentral describes it as "bacterial SSU rRNA". It matches the Rfam family "Bacterial small subunit ribosomal RNA", at positions 338 to 795 of the family's 1533-position model. The record is from RNAcentral.